CAGUAAUCAGGGAUGUUUCUAAUGGAAUGCUACAGUAAUCAGAGAUGUUUCUAAUGGAAUGCUACAGUAAUCAGGGAUGUUUCUAAUGGAAUGUUACAGUAAUCAGGGAUGUUUCUAAUGGAAUGCUACAGUAAUCAGAGAUGUUUCUAAUGGAAUGUUACAGUAAACAGGGAUGUUUCUAAUGGAAUGCUACAGUAAUCAGAGAUGUUUCUAAUGGAAUGCCAAAGUAAUCAGGGAUGUAUCUAAUGGAAUGUUACAGUAAACAGAUGUUUCUAAUGGAAUGUUACAGUAAACAGAUAUGUUUCUAAUGGAAUGUUACAGUAAACAGGGAUGUUUCUAAUGGAAUGCUACAGUGAACAGAGAUGUUUUUUAAUGGAGUGGUAAAGUAAACAGGGAUGUUUCUAAUGGAAUGCUACAGUAAACAGAGAUGUUUAUAUUGGAAUGCCACAGUACACAGGGAUGUUUCUAAUGGAAUGCUACAGUAAUCAGGGAUGUUCCUAAUGAAAUGGUACAGUAAACAGGGAUGUUUCUAAUGGAAUGCCGUAAACAGGCAUGUUUCUGAAAGUAGGGUAGCUAAGCAUGUACUGUUUACUGGACCCCUAAUAUAAACGAAUGCACUGGUUCCCAAACUGUUGUAUGUGUUCUGGGGUUUCCAAGCCAUUCAAAGAUGCUCCCAAACUUCUUCCUCAUGUCGACUUGUGUUUGGACUUAUUUCAGAUCAACAUGUACGUGUGUGUGUCUGUGUGUGUGUCUGUUCGUGCGUGUCUGUUCGUGCGUGUCUGUUCGUGCGUGUCUGUUCGUGCGUGUCUGUGUGUGCAUGUCUGUCUGUCUGUCUGUCUGUCUGUCUGUCUGUCUGUCUGUCUGUCUGUUCGUGCGUGUCUGUUCGUGCGUGUCUGUUCGUGCGUGUCUGUGUGUGCAUGUCUGUCUGUCUGUCUGUCUGUCUGUCUGUCUGUCUGUCUGUCUGUCUGUCUGUCUGUCUGUCUGUCUGUCUGUCUGUCUGUCUGUCUGUCUGUCUGUGCAUUGUGUGUGUGCGUGUCUGUCUGUAGAUAUGUGUGUAUCUGUUUGUGUGUCUCCGUGUAUGUGUGCGUGUCUGUCUGUGUGUCUGUGUGUCUGUCUGUCUGUCUGUCUCUGUGUGUGUGUUUGCGAGCCCUGUUAUCAGUAUAAGUUUCUGGUUUCAAAGUCCAUUCUUCUACCUGGGUGUGUUGGAUGAGAGAGAUUGUUUAUGUGCUUAUGCAUGUGUGCAUGUGUGCGUGGGUAUGUGUGUCUGUGCAUUGUGUGUGUGCGUGUCUGUCUGUCUGUCUGUCUGUCUGUCUGUCUGUCUGUCUGUCUGUCUGUCUGUCUGUCUGUCUGUCUGUCUGUCUGUCUGUCUGUCUGUCUGUCUGUCUGUCUGUCUGUCUGUCUGUCAAGUAACUACUGGCUAUUAGAGACAUAUGUAUUCUCUCUAAUGGACUGUGUGUGUGUGUGUGUGUGUGUGUGUGUGUGUGUGUGUGUGUGUGUGUGUGUGUGUGUGUGUGUGUGUGUGUGUGUGUGUGUUUGUUGUGUGCGUGUGUGUGUGUGCGUGUCUGUGUGUAUGUGUUGAGUAACUACUGGCUGGUAGAGACAGAUGUACUCUCUCUAAUGGACUGUGAGGUAAACACUGAAAUACCGCCUAGAUUGCACCCUAUUCC
Molecule: long non-coding RNA, 1667 nt
Filed under: Salmo salar (Atlantic salmon)
Lineage: Eukaryota; Metazoa; Chordata; Actinopteri; Salmoniformes; Salmonidae
Description: lncRNA (ENSSSAG00000105281.1)
Source: RNAcentral